RNAcentral lists this transfer RNA (71 nucleotides) under Leptospiraceae bacterium. RNAcentral describes it as "tRNA-Cys". It matches the Rfam family "tRNA". Rfam says of the family: Transfer RNA (tRNA) molecules are approximately 80 nucleotides in length. The record is from RNAcentral. RNAcentral also lists the same sequence under 1 other name. Lineage: Bacteria; Pseudomonadati; Spirochaetota; Leptospiria; Leptospirales; Leptospiraceae.
GGCGUCGUAGCCAAGUGGUAAGGCAGGGCUCUGCAAAAGCCUUAUCGCCGGUUCGAUUCCGGCCGACGCCU